CCCGUGAUAGCUCAGUUGGUAGAGCGGAGGACUGUAGAAUGUUAAAAGCUGUUAUCCUUAGGUCACCGGUUCGAAUCCGGUUCGCGGGA
Non-coding RNA from Potamilus streckersoni, 89 nucleotides. The record is from the annotation of a GenBank genome assembly. Lineage: Eukaryota; Metazoa; Mollusca; Bivalvia; Unionida; Unionidae.